RNAcentral lists this ribosomal RNA (253 nucleotides) under uncultured bacterium. RNAcentral describes it as "partial 16S ribosomal RNA". It matches the Rfam family "Bacterial small subunit ribosomal RNA", at positions 524 to 776 of the family's 1533-position model. The record is from RNAcentral.
UACGGAGGGUGGAAGCGUUAUUCGGGAUCACUGGGUUUAAAGGGUGCGUAGGCGGCUAAAUAAGUCAGAGGUGAAAGCUUGCAGCUUAACUGCGAAAUUGCCUUUGAUACUGUAUAGCUUGAAAGGAGCUGAGGUCAGCAGAAUGUGGCAUGUAGCGGUGAAAUGCAUAGAUAUGCCAUAGAAUACCAAUUGCGAAGGCAGCUAGCUGGGCUUACUUUGACGCUGAGGCACGAAAGCGUGGGGAUCGAACAGG